This 501-nucleotide ribosomal RNA is filed under the name uncultured bacterium. RNAcentral's name for it is "partial 16S ribosomal RNA". It matches the Rfam family "Bacterial small subunit ribosomal RNA", at positions 30 to 523 of the family's 1533-position model. The record is from RNAcentral.
AUUGAACGCUGGCGGCAGGCUUAACACAUGCAAGUCGAGCGGAGAUGAGGUGCUUGCACCUUAUCUUAGCGGCGGACGGGUGAGUAAUGCUUAGGAAUCUGCCUAUUAGUGGGGGACAACAUUCCGAAAGGAAUGCUAAUACCGCAUACGUCCUACGGGAGAAAGCAGGGGAUCUUCGGACCUUGCGCUAAUAGAUGAGCCUAAGUCGGAUUAGCUAGUUGGUGGGGUAAAGGCCUACCAAGGCGACAAUCUGUAGCGGGUCUGAGAGGAUGAUCCGCCACACUGGGACCGAGACACGGCCCAGGCUCCUACGGGAGGCAGGAGUGGGGAAUAUUGGACAAUGGGGGAAACCCUGAUCCAGCCAUGCCGCGUGUGUGAAGAAGGCCUUAUGGUUGUAGAGCACUUUAAGCGAGGAGGAGGCUACUGAGACUAAUACUCUUGGAUAGUGGACGUUACUCGCAGAAUAAGCACCGGCUAACUCUGUGCCAGCCGCCGCGGUAA